AGAGUUUGAUCCUGGCUCAGAUUGAACGCUGGCGGCAUGCCUUACACAUGCAAGUCGAACGGCAGCACGGGGGCAACCCUGGUGGCGAGUGGCGAACGGGUGAGUAAUACAUCGGAACGUGUCCUGUAGUGGGGGAUAGCCCGGCGAAAGCCGGAUUAAUACCGCAUACGAUCUACGGAAGAAAGCGGGGGACCGAAAGGCCUCGCGCUAUAGGGGCGGCCGAUGGCAGAUUAGCUAGUUGGUGGGGUAAAGGCCUACCAAGGCGACGAUCUGUAGCUGGUCUGAGAGGACGACCAGCCACACUGGGACUGAGACACGGCCCAGACUCCUACGGGAGGCAGCAGUGGGGAAUUUUGGACAAUGGGGGAAACCCUGAUCCAGCAAUGCCGCGUGUGUGAAGAAGGCCUUCGGGUUGUAAGGCACUUUU
Molecule: ribosomal RNA, 427 nt
Filed under: uncultured bacterium
Lineage: Bacteria
Description: bacterial SSU rRNA
Rfam family: Bacterial small subunit ribosomal RNA
Source: RNAcentral